RNAcentral lists this ribosomal RNA (229 nucleotides) under uncultured bacterium. RNAcentral describes it as "partial 16S ribosomal RNA". It matches the Rfam family "Bacterial small subunit ribosomal RNA", at positions 568 to 796 of the family's 1533-position model. The record is from RNAcentral.
CGCGUAGGCGGGCCUUCAAGUCGGUUGUGAAAACUGGUAGCUUAACUACCAGCCUGCACUCGAUACUAGAGGUCUUGAGUACGGAAGAGGAAAGCGGAAUUCCAGGUGUAGCGGUGAAAUGCGUAGAUAUCUGGAAGAACACCGGUAGCGAAGGCGGCUUUCUGGUCCGAUACUGACGCUGAAGCGCGAAGGCUAGGGUAGCAAACAGGAUUAGAUACCCUGGUAGUCC